UACGUAGGGACCGAGCGUUGUCCGGAUUCAUUGGGCGUAAAGGGCUCGUAGGCGGUCUGUCGCGUCGGGAGUGAAAACUCAGGGCUUAACCCUGAGCUUGCUUCCGAUACGGGCAGACUAGAGGUAUGCAGGGGAGAACGGAAUUCCUGGUGUAGCGGUGGAAUGCGCAGAUAUCAGGAGGAACACCGGUGGCGAAGGCGGUUCUCUGGGCAUUACCUGACGCUGAGGAGCGAAAGUGUGGGGAGCAAACAGG
RNAcentral lists this ribosomal RNA (253 nucleotides) under uncultured bacterium. Its description in RNAcentral is "partial 16S ribosomal RNA". It matches the Rfam family "Bacterial small subunit ribosomal RNA", at positions 524 to 776 of the family's 1533-position model. The record is from RNAcentral.